Molecule: long non-coding RNA, 1644 nt
Filed under: Mus musculus (house mouse)
Lineage: Eukaryota; Metazoa; Chordata; Mammalia; Rodentia; Muridae
Description: long non-coding RNA chr2:167506145-167507789
Source: RNAcentral
UGGUAGUUUAGUGUCCUGUGCCUUAGUAGCCUUCUUGUGCUGUGAGCCAGCAGGUGCCCCCUCUGCCUCUAGAUCAUGGUGUUUGAGUUUCUUGAAUAUGUGAGAAUUUUCAGCCUGUGUGCCCUCCCUCCCUCCAUAGCUUCUGAUCUGCAUGAUCUGUACUGUUUAAUUUGCCUGCCUGUGAGUAAAAUUCCCUUGACACUUUUAAAUUUGGGGUUUGAUAUUUGUUUGCUUUGUUUUUUGAGACAAGGUCCCUCUAUGUAGCUCUAGCUAUCCUGGAACUUGCUAUAAACCAGGUUGGCCUGGAACUCGGAGAACCUCCUGCCUCUGGCCCCCAAGUGCUGGGAUUAAAGGCGUGCGCCACCAUGCACAGACUGAACUUUUAAUUUGAGGGCAUGGAAUAUUUUCUCCUUGUCUGUCAAUCACAGUGUUUUAAGGUUGAUCCAGAGGCUGCCUCUGAGGUCUGACCAGCACUGUUCUUGGGUUAUAACUAGCCCCACUGGGUUUGCGUGUUCCCACAAUGCUUUGCUUUCACCUCUGAUAGUAACAGUCCCUCCCACCUUUUGUUUCAUGAGUGUUCACAGUACAUGGUCAAUCUCCAGCAGAUGGGUGUGAACUUCUUCCUUUUACACCAGAAAGUGGGGCUCAGGAAACCCUACCAGGAUUCCCUAGUGACAGGGACUAAGCUUUGAAGGCUCAAACAUCAUGCCUUUCUCCAUAAUGUCCCAAACCACAGGUACAGUUUCUUUUUUCAGUUGUGCCAAGGGCAUGGUAUUUUAUUUGAAUAAGAGCAGGGAAUCACUGUCCCAGUCCAUUAUUCAUUGGUGUCUUUUAAAAGUUGAUCCACUUUUGUUGUCUUGUCUCUUUGCAUGACACAGGUUCUCUGUGUGUCUUGUUCUAGCUUUUGCUCUGCAUGCCUGCAGGAAUGUCUGAAGCCGAAGAAACCUGUCUGUGGGGUGUGUCGCAGCGCUCUGGCACCUGGCGUCCGAGCUGUGGAGCUCGAGCGGCAGAUCGAGAGCAUAGAGACUUCUUGCCAUGGCUGCCGUAAGAAUGUAUGUGGACUUCAUGGAGAGUCCUUGUCUUUUGGUGAUGAGAUGUAGAAGAGCUAGUGUCUGAAGUUAGAGCCUGAAUACUGGCCAACAGCAUCAGUGCAUGCCUGCUGUGUGUGGUGGUGGCUGUGCUGCUGUUGGGGGAGGGGGGCUGUUUUUUUGUUUGUUUAUGUUUCUUCACCUUGCUGGGGUUUAUUUUUUCAUGAGUUGGUUUAGCAAUUUAUACAUACUACUUUUGAAAUCCAUAGAAACAAAUUCCCACCCCUAUAACAGGCCACCUUCUGCUAAUCUAAGCACUUAGGGACCGAGCAGCAAAGCUAGGAGACCUAAGCCAGCCUGGGCUGCUGAAGUCCUACUGCAGAAAGUAACUCGCAUGUGUUCUAGUUAGAAUAUAAGGGUACUGCAUGAUUUUUAAGUUAUAUAUAAAAUGAACAUCCCUCAGUAUAGAGUGAUUGCCUAGCCUGCAGGAAGCCUGGGUUCCAUCCCCAGCAUCCUCUCAACAAGACGUGGUGGUUCACACAUAAUCCCAGCACUGUGUGGUAGGCAGGAGGGUCUAAAAUUCAGGGCCAACCUGGUAUGCACAAAGCUGUCUCUC